This 253-nucleotide ribosomal RNA is filed under the name uncultured bacterium. RNAcentral's name for it is "partial 16S ribosomal RNA". It matches the Rfam family "Bacterial small subunit ribosomal RNA", at positions 524 to 776 of the family's 1533-position model. The record is from RNAcentral.
AGCGUAGGUUCCGAGCGUUAUCCGGAUUUACUGGGCGUAAAGCGCGUUCAGGCGGUUUGGCAAGUCGGGCAUGAAAUCCUUCGGCUCAACCGGGGGAGGUUGUCCGAUACUGCUGAACUGGAGGGCAGUAGAGGGUGGUGGAAUUCCGGGUGUAGUGGUGAAAUGCGUAGAGAUCCGGAGGAACACCAGUGGCGAAGGCGGCCGCCUGGACCUGACCUGACGCUGAGGCGCGAAGGCGCGGGGAGCGAACGGG